Long non-coding RNA from Triticum dicoccoides, 2227 nucleotides. RefSeq lists it as uncharacterized. Lineage: Eukaryota; Viridiplantae; Streptophyta; Magnoliopsida; Poales; Poaceae. The record is from RefSeq and is a predicted model, not a curated record. The transcript has 3 exons.
UUCCCCAUGGCAGCGGAUUCCCCUUCCUCUUCGUCUUCUCCAAUCUCCAUCAAAUCCCACUACACAAUUACUCUGUCGAUUCAGUUGCUCUUACAAUUUGGUAGUAUUUCUCCCCGGAGCGCUUGCGAUUUGUUAAGGUAAGCGAUGGCGAGGGCGUGCCCCCUUGCAACGAGAUCCACAGGCAGUCGUCCUAGCCCUGCCUCCGGCUUCCCCGACGUAGGGGCCCCCGCCCUGGAAGAAGAGGGCCUCGCGGCGGAUGCCACUGCACCGACAUCGACCCCAACCACUCUCGGCGUUUACCUUGCCGUCGUGUGUCGGGUGCCUCGACAGAAGGCCAGGAAGGCUCCCCGUGGUGCGGCCAACCCUUCUCGGUGCCGCUCAACUUCCCCACCACGCAUCCGCUGGGCUCUCGCCUGGAUGGACGCUCUUCUCGGCAACUCAACCAUGGAGUGUACGUCGCGCCGGGGAGGUCUCCAGCUGGUGGACGUUUUUCUUUUCGGCCUCGAAGGGCUGGGCUAGUGGUGACAUCGGGUAGGGCCUCCGUUGAUAGCCAUGACUUGCAGGAGUGCUAGAUCGACGUCCUCCCGCAGGUGCCGCCUCGACUGAUUCAGAGACGACAUUGAUUGCGGCAAUGGUGGCCCUUCCUGGCAAGUGACAUUCUACUGCAGCAAUGGUGCCUUUUUUGUUUUGGGGCAAGCUGACCUCAUGCAUCUGCGCAUGAAGUUUGGCUCCUUUCUAUCAGCGAUGGAUUUGCAAGGUAUUCAGUAAUUGAUGUUUGGCGCUCCCUCUCCUAAUAAUAUCUGAGAUGGUGCUUCACUUCGUCUUCCCAUGAUCUCAGGUGGUGUGUGCUAGACGACAACCAAGUAGUCAUCUUGGUCGGCCCGAUCACUGCAUAUGCAUACUCUGCAGAUUUUUGUCUCCUACUGGUAUAUUCUUCCCAAGUUCCUCUCCAUUGCUAAUUCUGCAUUUUUGUUUGCUUCAUUCAAAUCUGAAUUAAUAUUUCUUUGAUUGGAUAUGUAAACUUGCAUUCUAUACAAGCACCCUGUGUACUGUGUGUUUGGGGGUACAUUUCUAGAGAUCGUCAUUGUUGUUAGAGAUUUCACCAGAAUACAAUACAUUUGGUUGCUGACGGAUAUCUUUUCAACAUCAUUGGCCUGCUUAAUACGUGAUAUCUUUAGUGUGAGCUUUACUUAUAUGAAUUUUGUUUUUUCAUGAAUGGCAAAUUCGAUAAUGAAACAUCUCUUUUUCAUCAGGUCACCUGUAGAAGAUUAUAACCGUUUCACAUGCCCUCUCUUUGCAUACUUUGAGGGCAUGACCAUUUGAAUUAUCGUGUAGUUUCUUUUCAGCAGUAGUAUGUACAAUUUCAAUAAUCUCAAUUUUGCUUAAAAUAAGUUCAAAACUAUAUCCAAUAAACCGUGAGAGCAUAAUGGUGCAGGCUUUGCCCAGUGUUGUCAGUUCCUUUUCGUGUCUACUAUUUGUUUCCUUGACUACAAAUUCAGAGUUCAUUUGAAAAUUCUCGUGACUGGUCUUUGUGUAAGAGCUAACAUCACCACAUCUGUCGCCAACAACACACACCACUUACAGUCUCCUUCAAGCAUGGCAUCAAUGGCAUGCCUGCCUGAUCCCACAACCGUUGUUUGCUCUCCGAUGACUUCUAAUUAAUCUGAAAAUCAGUUUUUGUUCCUUGCUCAUGCUACAACUUGGACCAUGGUAUCUGCUGACAUGAAUGUACUCCGAUUUUGGUUCUCAAGAAUUUACUAAUUGAUGCUUAUUCUAUACAUUUCUAUUUUAAAAAUUGUUGAUUCAAGCUUUAUAGGUUUCCUGAUGAUGUGUGGCAAGAAGUCUGCAAUGAACCAAAUUUGGAAUUCUUGAGAAGUAUUGAGACUAAAUUGGAGAGAGAGAACAAACUUGAUACACUUGGUAAUGUUGGUCAUCCGAAGGCUUCAGGAAUACUCCCUCAGUUCCAUAAUUAUAUAUGUAUUAUUGGACGGAGGGAGUAUCAUUUAGUGACUGGCAAAAUCUAUUGAUGCGUGUACAUAAUAUCAACAAAUGUCACUUACUCAUUUUAUUGUCAUGUAAUACUAGGACUUGUGAAUGUGCUGUAUCUAAAUGUGAUCUAUUUUGCACCAACAUCUACAUACAUCUAAAUGGCUGAGAGGAUGCAAUGUAACUGAAACCUUUAGCCUAACUUGAAGCAUGGCCAUAAAAGAUCAAUUUUUAUUAGCCA